RNAcentral lists this ribosomal RNA (253 nucleotides) under uncultured bacterium. RNAcentral describes it as "partial 16S ribosomal RNA". It matches the Rfam family "Bacterial small subunit ribosomal RNA", at positions 524 to 776 of the family's 1533-position model. The record is from RNAcentral.
UACGGAGGUGGCGGGCGUUGUCCGGAUUCAUUGGGUUUAAAGGGAGCGUGGGCGGCUGUUUAAGUCAGUGCUGAAAUACCCCGGCUUAAACGGGGGGGUGGCAUUGAUACUGGACAGCUUGAGUGCUAACGAGGCAGGCGGAAUUGAAGGUGUAGCGGUGAAAUGCAUAGAUAUCGUCAAGAACACCGAUCGUGAAGACAGCUUGCCAGGGAGCCACUGACGCUGAGGCAAGAAAGGGUUGGGAUCAAACAGG